This 270-nucleotide ribosomal RNA is filed under the name uncultured bacterium. RNAcentral describes it as "partial 16S ribosomal RNA". It matches the Rfam family "Bacterial small subunit ribosomal RNA", at positions 58 to 339 of the family's 1533-position model. The record is from RNAcentral.
UCAAGUUGAACGGAUGACUUAGUGGCGGACGGGUGAGUAACACGUAGGUAACCUGCCCAUGUGCCCGGGAUAACUUCUGGAAACGGAUGCUAAAACCGGAUAGGUAGCAGACAAGCAUUUGACUGCUAUUAAAGUGGCCUUGGCCAUGAACAUGGAUGGACCUGCGGUGCAUUAGCUGGUUGGUGAGGUAACGGCCCACCAAGGCGACGAUGCAUAGCCGGCCUGAGAGGGCGGACGGCCACAUUGGGACUGAGACACGGCCCAAACUCC